Chelonus insularis is the source of this 728-nucleotide long non-coding RNA. RefSeq lists it as uncharacterized. The transcript is spliced from 3 exons. NCBI's taxonomy places the organism in Eukaryota, Metazoa, Arthropoda, Insecta, Hymenoptera, Braconidae. The record is from RefSeq and is a predicted model, not a curated record.
UGAAAGACAAAUUACCGGUUUUUCGAGCCAAUUAAUUUACCAUUAACUUAAAUUUAAAAAAAUGAAAAGUAACAAAUAAACUUUUGUCAUUUCUGUGUGUGUGUGUGAUUUUCAAGAAGUCAGUUUAAACGGUCGAGGUCAAAUCGAUCAGUUCACUAAUAAAACUUCACUUUAUCAGGGUGAAUCGUUGAACCUUAGGAGUGAACUCAUUAUUACCUUGACUACUUCGAAGAUGUAAUACAUGUAGAAACCAAUCAUAAAUAAUACAAAGAAGUACAUUUUGGGUAAUUCAAAAGCAUCAGCAAAAUAUGACAACAUUUUUAACACUUUUAUAAUAAAUAAUUAAUAAUGAUAACAAUUUUAUCCUAGAUAAAAAAGAAAAACAAUUCACUUUAGCUGAUUCGGUAUUAAAUAUCCGGCAUCUCUACGAUAUCAUGACUUCACCGGGCACGAGUCGUUCACCAACUAAAGCAAAAAAUAACCAACUUAUGAUUGAAUGGUCGAUUAGAACGUGGGAGAGUACAUAGGCCAUGUUUAUAUAAAAUCUCCCGACAUUUAAAAGUUGAAUACGUGUAUACUACUAUUCUCUGUAUGCAGUUUGCAAUUUUUAUUCACCUUUUCCACAAUGAUAAUGACAUUGAAUAUUGAACGUGAACUUUCUCAAAUAACAUCCUGGUGUGUAUAUAAAUAAAUACUUUAUAAGUACGUAAGAUUAUGAGUGAUAAAAU